CCUACGGGGGGCAGCAGUGAGGGAUAUUGCGCAAUGGGCGAAAGCCUGACGCAGCGACGCCGCGUGGGCGAGGAAGGCCUUCGGGUUGUAAAGCCCUUUUGGCAGGGAAGAGCAAGGACUGUACCUGCAGAACAAGUCACGGCUAACUACGUGCCAGCAGCCGCGGUAAAACGUAGGUGGCGAGCGUUAUCCGGAAUCACUGGGCGUAAAGAGCGCGUAGGCGGUUUGAUAAGUCAUGGGUGAAAGCCCUCAGCUCAACUGAGUUUACGCCCUGGAAACUGUCUGACUUGAGUUUAGGAGAGGAGAGCGAAAUUCCCAGUGUAGCGGUGAAAUGCGUAGAUAUUGGGAGGA
Molecule: ribosomal RNA, 351 nt
Filed under: uncultured bacterium
Lineage: Bacteria
Description: partial 16S ribosomal RNA
Rfam family: Bacterial small subunit ribosomal RNA
Source: RNAcentral